This is a long non-coding RNA of Etheostoma spectabile (orangethroat darter), 153 nucleotides long. RefSeq lists it as uncharacterized. Lineage: Eukaryota; Metazoa; Chordata; Actinopteri; Perciformes; Percidae. The record is from RefSeq and is a predicted model, not a curated record. The transcript is spliced from 3 exons.
CAAUCAUCUGGCUGUUAAAAUCAAGAGACUUCAGACAGCUGUGAAUGAAGAACCGCAGCCAGAAAGAAACCAGGAUCUGGGCUCAGAUGAACUGAACUACGCAGCUCUAAAUUUCCAGGCACAACCCAAAAGAAGCCGCAGGCCUGCAUCAGA